RNAcentral lists this ribosomal RNA (423 nucleotides) under uncultured bacterium. RNAcentral's name for it is "bacterial SSU rRNA". It matches the Rfam family "Bacterial small subunit ribosomal RNA", at positions 207 to 622 of the family's 1533-position model. The record is from RNAcentral.
AAGACCUUACGCUUUUGGAGCGGCCGAUGUCUGAUUAGCUUGUUGGUGAGGUAAAGGCUUACCAAGGCUUCGAUCAGUAGCUGGUCUGAGAGGACGACCAGCCACACUGGGACUGAGACACGGCCCAGACUCCUACGGGAGGCAGCAGUGGGGAAUUUUGGACAAUGGGGGAAACCCUGAUCCAGCCAUGCCGCGUGAGUGAAGAAGGCCUUCGGGUUGUAAAGCUCUUUCAGCCGGAACGAAACGGUUACGAUUAAUACCUGUAACUACUGACGGUACCGGAAGAAGAAGCACCGGCUAACUACGUGCCAGCAGCCGCGGUAAUACGUAGGGUGCAAGUGUUAAUCGGAAUUACUGGGCGUAAAGCGUGCGCAGGUGGUUUUGUAAGUCAGAUGUGAAAUCCCCGGGCUUAACCUGGGAACU